Molecule: ribosomal RNA, 2909 nt
Filed under: Bacillus cereus ATCC 10987
Lineage: Bacteria; Bacillati; Bacillota; Bacilli; Caryophanales; Bacillaceae
Description: bacterial LSU rRNA
Rfam family: Bacterial large subunit ribosomal RNA
Source: RNAcentral
GGGCGCACGGUGGAUGCCUUGRCACUAGGAGUCGAUGAASGACGGGACUAACGCCGAUAUGCUUCSGGGAGCUGUAAGUAAGCUUUGAUCCGAAGAUUUCCGAAUGGGGAAACCCACCAUACGUAAUGGUAUGGUAUCCUUAUCUGAAUACAUAGGGUAAGGAAGACAGACCCAGGGAACUGAAACAUCUAAGUACCUGGAGGAAGAGAAAGCAAAUGCGAUUUCCUGAGUAGCGGCGAGCGAAACGGAACAUAGCCCAAACCAAGAGGCUUGCCUCUUGGGGUUGUAGGACAUUCUAUACGGAGUUACAAAGGAACGAGGUAGACGAAGCGACCUGGAAAGGUCCGUCGUAGAGGGUAACAACCCCGUAGUCGAAACUUCGUUCUCUCUUGAAUGUAUCCUGAGUACGGCGGAACACGUGAAAUUCCGUCGGAAUCUGGGAGGACCAUCUCCCAAGGCUAAAUACUCCCUAGUGAUCGAUAGUGAACCAGUACCGUGAGGGAAAGGUGAAAAGCACCCCGGAAGGGGAGUGAAAGAGAUCCUGAAACCGUGUGCCUACAAAUAGUCAGAGCCCGUUAACGGGUGAUGGCGUGCCUUUUGUAGAAUGAACCGGCGAGUUACGAUCCCGUGCGAGGUUAAGCUGAAGAGGCGGAGCCGCAGCGAAAGCGAGUCUGAAUAGGGCGUUUAGUACGUGGUCGUAGACCCGAAACCAGGUGAUCUACCCAUGUCCAGGGUGAAGUUCAGGUAACACUGAAUGGAGGCCCGAACCCACGCACGUUGAAAAGUGCGGGGAUGAGGUGUGGGUAGCGGAGAAAUUCCAAUCGAACCUGGAGAUAGCUGGUUCUCCCCGAAAUAGCUUUAGGGCUAGCCUUAAGUGUAAGAGUCUUGGAGGUAGAGCACUGAUUGGACUAGGGGUCCUCAUCGGAUUACCGAAUUCAGUCAAACUCCGAAUGCCAAUGACUUAUCCUUAGGAGUCAGACUGCGAGUGAUAAGAUCCGUAGUCAAAAGGGAAACAGCCCAGACCGCCAGCUAAGGUCCCAAAGUGUGUAUUAAGUGGAAAAGGAUGUGGAGUUGCUUAGACAACUAGGAUGUUGGCUUAGAAGCAGCCACCAUUUAAAGAGUGCGUAAUAGCUCACUAGUCGAGUGACUCUGCGCCGAAAAUGUACCGGGGCUAAAUACACCACCGAAGCUGCGGAUUGAUACCGAAUGGUAUCAGUGGUAGGGGAGCGUUCUAAGGACAGUGAAGUCAGACCGGAAGGACUGGUGGAGUGCUUAGAAGUGAGAAUGCCGGUAUGAGUAGCGAAAGACGGGUGAGAAUCCCGUCCACCGAAUGCCUAAGGUUUCCUGAGGAAGGCUCGUCCGCUCAGGGUUAGUCAGGACCUAAGCCGAGGCCGACAGGCGUAGGCGAUGGACAACAGGUUGAUAUUCCUGUACCACCUCUUUAUCGUUUGAGCAAUGGAGGGACGCAGAAGGAUAGAAGAAGCGUGCGAUUGGUUGUGCACGUCCAAGCAGUUAGGCUGAUAAGUAGGCAAAUCCGCUUAUCGUAAAGGCUGAGCUGUGAUGGGGAAGCUCCUUAUGGAGCGAAGUCUUUGAUUCCCCGCUGCCAAGAAAAGCUUCUAGCGAGAUAAAAGGUGCCUGUACCGCAAACCGACACAGGUAGGCGAGGAGAGAAUCCUAAGGUGUGCGAGAGAACUCUGGUUAAGGAACUCGGCAAAAUGACCCCGUAACUUCGGGAGAAGGGGUGCUUUCUUAACGGAAAGCCGCAGUGAAUAGGCCCAAGCGACUGUUUAGCAAAAACACAGCUCUCUGCGAAGCCGUAAGGCGAAGUAUAGGGGGUGACACCUGCCCGGUGCUGGAAGGUUAAGGAGAGGGGUUAGCGUAAGCGAAGCUCUGAACUGAAGCCCCAGUAAACGGCGGCCGUAACUAUAACGGUCCUAAGGUAGCGAAAUUCCUUGUCGGGUAAGUUCCGACCCGCACGAAAGGUGUAACGAUUUGGGCACUGUCUCAACCAGAGACUCGGUGAAAUUAUAGUACCUGUGAAGAUGCAGGUUACCCGCGACAGGACGGAAAGACCCCGUGGAGCUUUACUGUAGCCUGAUAUUGAAUUUUGGUACAGUUUGUACAGGAUAGGCGGGAGCCUUUGAAACCGGAGCGCUAGCUUCGGUGGAGGCGCUGGUGGGAUACCGCCCUGACUGUAUUGAAAUUCUAACCUACGGGUCUUAUCGACCCGGGAGACAGUGUCAGGUGGGCAGUUUGACUGGGGCGGUCGCCUCCUAAAGUGUAACGGAGGCGCCCAAAGGUUCCCUCAGAAUGGUUGGAAAUCAUUCGUAGAGUGCAAAGGCAUAAGGGAGCUUGACUGCGAGACCUACAAGUCGAGCAGGGACGAAAGUCGGGCUUAGUGAUCCGGUGGUUCCGCAUGGAAGGGCCAUCGCUCAACGGAUAAAAGCUACCCCGGGGAUAACAGGCUUAUCUCCCCCAAGAGUCCACAUCGACGGGGAGGUUUGGCACCUCGAUGUCGGCUCAUCGCAUCCUGGGGCUGUAGUCGGUCCCAAGGGUUGGGCUGUUCGCCCAUUAAAGCGGUACGCGAGCUGGGUUCAGAACGUCGUGAGACAGUUCGGUCCCUAUCCGUCGUGGGCGUAGGAAAUUUGAGAGGAGCUGUCCUUAGUACGAGAGGACCGGGAUGGACGCACCGCUGGUGUACCAGUUGUUCUGCCAAGGGCAUAGCUGGGUAGCUAUGUGCGGAAGGGAUAAGUGCUGAAAGCAUCUAAGCAUGAAGCCCCCCUCAAGAUGAGAUUUCCCAUAGCGUAAGCUAGUAAGAUCCCUGAAAGAUGAUCAGGUUGAUAGGUUCGAGGUGGAAGCAUGGUGACAUGUGGAGCUGACGAAUACUAAUAGAUCGAGGACUUAACCAU